CAUCUCCUCUCUUUUUUCUUCGAUCUGCAGCUGAAGAACCCUAAGAAGACCCAUAGAUAAGCUUUCUCUUCUCUUUUAUAACCAACCGAUUUUGGCACUUCUCACUCACAGAGACUCUCCAUUUCUAUGUUUUUUCUCUUUCAGUAGACGCUCCUCGAUUCGUCGGGGUUUUUGAUUUUGGAGUUAUGGAGCAGCAAAAGAACAUGGUUGAAGAAAACAUCGGAGAAGAAAAGAUUCUUCCCGGCCCUUUCCACGUUGAAAAGCUUCAGGGGGAUGGGGUAGCUUCAGUUGAUGUAAAAAAGCUCAAAGAUGCUGGUCUAUGCAGAGUUGAAACUGUUGCAUAAUCUCCUCGGAAAGAAUUACUUAUAAUCAAAGGAAUUAGUGAUGCUAAAAUUGAUAAGAUCAUUGAAGCAGCGACAAAGCUGGUUCAAUUGGGUUUACUAGUGCUGGUCAGCUUCAUGCACAAAGGCAAGAGAUCAUUCAGAUAACAUCAGGAUCAAGAGAACUUGACAAGGUUUUAGAAGGACGGAUCGAGACCGGUUAUAUUACUGAAUUGUAUGGUGUGGUGCCAGAUCAACGGAAAUGGAUCAACUGAGGUGGAUCUAGUUUGUAGGCUGGGUAUGGGCCAAGGAGGAGGAUCUAGUUUAUCCAAUCGUGGAGGUACAAGGAAUGUGUAUGGGCUGGGUCAAAGGGGAAGUAUGAUAUCGCAGAUCAGGUCUCAAACUUUUGGACAGACUUUAAAGUGCUCUUCUCCGAUAAAGUAUAUGUUGUUAACGUUCUAGAAGAAGAUUCAAUUUGUAGAAGUAAAAACCCUAGAAGAUCUCUAAACUCAGAAGAAGAUUGAAGUGAAAAUUUUGUAAGAUUCAACUACAAAUCCUUGAAGAUUCAGGUAUAACUCUAACCCUAUUCGUUUGAUUUUUUCUCUCUAUAUUUUGCUAGUUCUGUGUGUUUGAUUCUUGUUUUUAUGAACUGAUUUUCAUUUAAGUGGAAUGGAUUUGAUUUCUCACUAUGGGUCUGUGAGUUUUUCCUUUUGUUAUAACAUGUUUGAUUUUUAAUUUAGAGAAUAAGGGUUAUGAGUACGAAUCUGAUAGAGGUGUUGAUCUUGAACAUGUAUUUAUUGUCUAUUAAGUGUUUUGGUAUCUGGUUUUGAUGCAAGCAUUGAAGAUUUUGAAUGGGUGAUAUUCAAGUUCUAGAUGUAGAUAUGUAAUCUGUGAAAUAAUUGGUCCACUCAUGUCCUUAAUCAGUUAUGUGCUUCUUGGAAGGUACGACGUGUACUUACAUAUAAGCAUCAUUUUUCUUUUUGUAUUUACUUAAGCUUUAUUGGAUGUUUCCUAAUUUCUAAUAUAUGAUACUCGUAUUUGUAGGAUGCAGAGAAGUUUAACUGAUGACGAGAGUCACGAGGAGGAAGAAGAUGAGUAUUUUUCUAGUCUUUUAAUCUAUGAUAUUAGAACCUUAACUCGAGUCGACUGCUUGAAAAAUGCUUCAAGUUAUCGUAGUUAAUUGUUUCAACUUAAUUACAGUGAGGAUGCAAGCGAAAAUAGUUCGAAAAGCAGCCGUGAAAUGCUUAUCACCUAUAAUAGUUUCUCUCCCUGAGAUGCUCUCUCAAGGACCAAAUAUUGGGCGAUAAUAGAGAUGUUUCAGAGAGAUAACUAGGUGGACAAUAUUGCUGGCAAUGUGAAUGUUGUAGGUUGUGUGGACUUAGCUGCAUUGAAUCAAAGAGUGGCGGAAGAGGAGGAUGUUUAAUUAUCUAUGAAUCAUAACCCAUGUGAAAUUGUGGGUUCAUAGAAUUACACAUGUCUAACAAGUUUAUAAUAAAACUUUCCAUUCUCUUAUCAUCGCAGUGUUAAUGAAAAUUUGUUAUCUGCAUCGGGUACUUGUGAGAUUGCAGAUAUACAUGAAUUGGAAUAAAGAAAAAUGAACUCAUUCGCCCACGCUGGAUGUCUAAAUUCUUGAAAAUGGAGAUGCUGGUUGGUGGUCAUGAAGGUCUGCAGUACUUUUGGGCGUGAAUGUUUUUCUUACCCGUUUCAUAACAUGUUCCAAUAGGUAAGUGUGCAUUCAUGAGGUGAAACUGAGUUUCAAAGAUCCGUGUUAGAACUGCUGAACCAGUUGGAUGUUUUUUGUUCCUGACGAGAUGUCAAAGUCGUUUUUGCAACAAACAGAAUAGAAAAUAUUGAUCCUGCUUUGCUAAAGACUGGAAGAAUAGGUCGGGAGAUUGAGUACCCUCUUCCUAUCACCAAAACAAGGAGACACAUUUACCAGAUCUCUAAACCCUGGAGUAUAUAUAUGUGUAUCAAGUGUUCAUACGUUCAUAAAAGCCUUGGAGUUCAUAUAUUGAAGGUUGCACCUAGCUCAAGUGAGCCAACAACUGAUGAUGACCAACACAGCUUCUUCACAAGAUGAUUAUCAGUUUAUUAUCAACUUAUGAUUGUCUGAGAAUUUGAUUGGUAUGAGUUUGGCUCGUAGGUAUAACCUUAUAAAGAGAAUGAGCUGGGAUCCACAGUUUCCAAUAGGAACAACUUAAAGGUUGUCGUACACAUUUAGAAAGAAUCCACUCUACAUCUUGUUUUGAGGCCACGUGGUAGGAUUAUUGAACCAUCUUUUUUGAUGGCUUUAGAAAGGAAGUACAACCAGGACAAGAUGAUCUCACGCAAAAGAUAUGCACCUCGUCGUCCUCGUGUUGUAACUGUAGGAAGAAGAAGUGUGAAAACAACAGCUGGUUGAGGCCAAAGAAAAAGAUCAAGUAGACACAAUCCUGAAUUUUAGAGGGUGCAGAGCUGGAGAAUUUGUUUCCCGACAUGGUUGGUACUUGUGGUAAGAUCGAAACAAGAUGCUCCUGUUAGGGUGGCAUUAUAAGGAAAUCAAGAAAACAGUUGGAUAAGCAUAAUAGGAUUUGAGUGAACAAGUUGUAGGUGAUUCGUUUCUUAAUCUCCAAUAAAAAAUGUGGAUGAAGUCCCAUGAUAUUGAUUGAACAUGUUUAUAGGAAGUACCUUGUUAUUCAAUAAACAUGCUCAACUGGAAGUAGCUGUUUUUUGUGAAGUAUUUAUGUAAUUGUGACUGAGAUUGGUAAUUUUUGGAUAAUAGAGUUGAUUGAAUUAUGCUUUUGUCAUAUUUGAUGGAAAAUGGAACU
Molecule: long non-coding RNA, 3127 nt
Organism: Papaver somniferum (opium poppy)
Lineage: Eukaryota; Viridiplantae; Streptophyta; Magnoliopsida; Ranunculales; Papaveraceae
Exons: 14
Source: RefSeq, a predicted model, not a curated record